UUCAUUGUACGGGCAAACUUUGAUCCAGCCAUGUAUAACACAACGAACACAUAUUGGGAAAGAUUUCAUUUUGACAGUGAUUAAUAGUCGAGAUUUGUAUCACACGAUUGCUGCUCUCUCUGCUUCUUAAGUCUGUUACAAAAAGUUAGACAAUCGGUGAUUUGGUGUACAAAGGUUAGUUAUUUUCUGAAUUGAGCUUGGUUGAGAUUAAGAAGGCGUCCGCGGCUCCGAGAGUGUGUGUUUCUUCUGUGGUCUGCUACCUGAAUUGAUAAAGUACAAGCAAAUGUGGAUUUUUUGAGACACGAGCUCACUUUUGUGGGGGAUCCCGGAGAAAGUCGAUGCAUCACGAUUGACAGUUCAUGACUCAGCAG
Molecule: long non-coding RNA, 371 nt
Organism: Dreissena polymorpha
Lineage: Eukaryota; Metazoa; Mollusca; Bivalvia; Myida; Dreissenidae
Exons: 3
Source: RefSeq, a predicted model, not a curated record